AGCAGUUUCCAGGCUCCCCUCGGCGGGGCUGAAUGAUCAAAACUGGUGGUGAGAAUUUUUCCGGGCCGUUUCUAGGCAGCCCUCCCCCUCCACCAGCUCGGACCCCCCCCUCCCUCCUUUCUCCUUCUCCUCCCUUUUCCUUCUCCCCUCCCCCAGCGUCUGGGCUGAGUGAUCAAAAUAGAGGAAGAUGGUUGUCGCCGCAAUCCAGGGCUUUGCAAGGCGCGGUUUAAUGGGCCGCCUGUCAGCUUCCUGCUCGCAGGAGGAGGUGACAAGCCAAGCGAGCCGGAGAGGGCCUGGGGCCCGGCUGGCUGCACCCCGCACUCCGGGCCCCGGCCCCCGGCCUCCCCUGGGGUGCGCUUCUAGUACGCGCGGUGGAGACGCCGAAACAGACAAGGGCUGCUUUUUCCCUUGUUUUUUUUUUCUUCCUUUUAAAACAAAGCAGCGAUUCAUUCCCUCUCCCCCAGCAGCGCGGUCGGGUGGGAUGGGCAGGCGAGAAGGCCGUUUUCCUAGCACUGACCUACGGGUCCCUCCCUGAAACGCGGUGUCAGAUGGUUACUGAUUAAUAUUUUGGAGAGGCCGCGGCGGCAGGCAGCGGGUGAGUCUCUAAUCUUCUAAAAGGGGUUCCUAUAGAAACGCGGAGCGGGGCGCGCCCCCCGCUCGGCCCAGGCCCGGGCUGCGGCGCUUCGCACAGCGCGCCCCUCCCCAAAGCCCCUCUUUGCGUGGGCGCUCCCCUCUCCUUCCCCCCCCGCCAACAAAAAAUCAGAGCAGAAAAAAGGAUUAGAUCGGCUGAGCGCGAACUGAAUCCCUCUCGAUUCUGACAUUUCAGCCUAUUAGCAUUUCUCCACGGAGCCUUCUGAAACCUAUUAAAGUGUAAUAUUAAAAACCUCUUGGCUGGGGGCCUCUCUCGCCUUCCAUCCGCCGCGCCCCCUCCAGGGAGGGCGAGACCGGGAAAAAAAUAAAAUCUGUUGAGCUCAGAGGAAGUAGCCGCCAAGCCCAAAAAGUGCUUGGCUGGCCACGGCGGCCGUAGGGGGAAGGGAGCCCCAAUCCCCCAGACUUUGUACUUUUAUUUUGCGCUUUCAGCAAAAUCCUUUCUGGGUUGAGUAGCCGUGAGCUGCCCGCGGCCGACCUACCUGACCGGGGGCGCAGGGAGUGCGGACCACGCCAGCAGGACUGUCCUGGGGGCCCCCGCACCCUCUCUCUGCAGCCCCCCGAGCCCGGCUAGGCAUUACGUACCCUGGAAAGGAAGCUUGGAGGGGCAGAAAUCCUUCCAAUGCUGCCUCGAAGAGCAACUGCAGUGAUAAGAUUUUAAUUAAAACAAGAGAAGCCCGCUCUUUCGCCCCGCGCUGCGGACUCAGCGUUUUCGCAUUGCCCGUUCUGUUUUUUUUAAAUCAAUUUUUAAGGCAACUUUUUGGGAGGGGGGAAAAAUGAGCGAGUUAGUGCCCAUUCGUUCUAUUUUCUUUUCUCCACUUUUAGAAAAAAGUGGGGGGAGGCUUCGAGAACGAACGGGGGGGUGUCUAAUUUAAUUCCAGGAUAAAUUUGAGGAAAAAAGUUCAGCCUCUUGAGGGCAGUUUCAAGUUGCCCUUCCUGGAGCUUCCUGCGUUAGUUUCUAGGCUGCCCUCUUUUGGAAGCUGUAGCUCCGCUGGGGAGGAGGGAGGAGUGAGAAGGAAAGAAAGGAACAAAAAUAGCCGGAGCCGAGGGGAACAAGCCACGGUGUCCGCGUUUGGAGCUGGGCGUGCGGGUCUCAGUGGCGGCCUCGGCAUUCGGGGCGGCGGGAGGCGCCCGGUGCAUCCCCGGGACGGCCAGGAGCAAAGACGGAGAGGAGAGGGGGGUUAGAGAAAGGAGGUAUUGUGUCUGUGUGCCUUAGGGGAGGAGGGGACUGCAGGAAUCGAAUAAACGCAGUCGAGCUGCGCGGGGCUGCUGGAAGCCCAGGCGGGGGAAGGGGGCCGUGUGUGGGGGCGCAGAGCGCCCUUGAGCCUUACGCAGAGGUCUUGUGUGUUCCUAGUUAAGCCCUCCCACGCCCGAGGCCCCAUCGCUUCCUCUCCACCCUCUUUACCCACCAAUAUUCCAAGCCCAGAUCCUAAUUCCCCACCGCAUUACCCCGCCCUGGAUUUGGGGAAUGUUUUUCUUUAUUUUAAUAUAGCUCAAGGAAAAAAUACGUAUAUCUUGAGAGAUUUGGGGUGGGGAAAACAAAAGCCUUGCGGAGUAGAAAAAACAAAGGCUUAUUUUUAUAAAUGUUUAAUGUUUUCACCCCCUGGAUGCUCCGAGACGCCGUAAUUGUGACGGCGGGGUACGUGUGCCAUAAAUCAUUUAGUUGCUAAUAAAAAUUCUGCCUGUUUGCCCUGGAUUUGCCAAUGGCGUUUGCAUUUUUCAAGUGUGCGCCUCGGCGGUGUGACGAACCCAGCCGGUAUUUCAUUAGGGCCGCGGUUCGGGGCAGAGGAGGUCCCCUCCCCGCCUGGGCUUUGUGCGCCCAGCCCCCUUGCACCGGCCCUUCCAUACCUGCCCCCGGCACCCACUCC
This 2516-nucleotide long non-coding RNA is filed under the name Homo sapiens (human). RNAcentral describes it as "non-protein coding lnc-SLC29A4-5:4". The record is from RNAcentral. Lineage: Eukaryota; Metazoa; Chordata; Mammalia; Primates; Hominidae.